This is a long non-coding RNA of Dermochelys coriacea (leatherback sea turtle), 447 nucleotides long. RefSeq lists it as uncharacterized. The transcript has 3 exons. The record is from RefSeq and is a predicted model, not a curated record. NCBI's taxonomy places the organism in Eukaryota, Metazoa, Chordata, Testudines, Dermochelyidae.
CCUGAUACAAAGAUAUCUGAAGUCCCUCCAAGUUAUAGAAACUUGGCAAAGCAGAAUGAAAGUGCUUCACACCCCGCACAGCUCAGCCGGGCAGGCAUGAGCAGAUUUUGGGGGCUGGGAUUGAUCUGCAUUGAUCAUUGGGCAGCAGCACCACAAAAGGCAGACUGGGAUCAAUGGGCCUGGGGAAUAUUUCCAUCCUUUUUUUGGUAGGUACUAUGAAUGUAGCCUUGGCUCCUGGGUCUUCCCCAUGGACAGAAUAUUUUGUUGCAAAAUAAAGCUUUUAAUUGAAAGGAGUAAAAUGAAAUGGCCACACAAUGGUGCCAGAGACUAAGGAAUGAAAAGCCCCACAUUUCCUAAAUCAUAGAAGAUUAAGGUUGGAAGAGAGCUCAGGAGGUAUCUAGUCCAACCCCCUGCUCAAAGCAGGACCAACCCCAACUAAAUCAUCCC